GAUGAACGCUAGUGACAGGCUUAACACAUGCAAGUCGAGGGGCAGCGGGGGCGUAGCAAUACGCCUGCCGGCGACCGGCGCACGGGUGAGUAACACGUAUGCAACCUGCCCGUCACAGGGGGAUAAGCGGAAGAAUUCCGUCUAAUACCGCGUAGCACCUGCGGAGGGCAUCCUCUGCAGGUUAAAGAAUUUCGGUGACGGAUGGGCAUGCGGCGCAUUAGCUAGUUGGCGGGGUAACGGCCCACCAAGGCGACGAUGCGUAGGGGUUCUGAGAGGAAGGUCACCCACACUGGUACUGAGACACGGACCAGAAUCCUACGGGAGGCAGCAGUGAGGAAUAUUGGUCAAUGGGCGCGAGCCUGAACCAGCCAAGUCGCGUGAGGGAAGACGGCCCUACGGGUUGUAAACCUCUUUUGUCGGGGAGCAAAUGCGCCACGUGUGGCGCUGCGAGAGUACCCGAAGAAAAAGCAUCGGCUAACUCCGUGCCAGCCGCCGCGGUAA
RNAcentral lists this ribosomal RNA (501 nucleotides) under uncultured bacterium. Its description in RNAcentral is "partial 16S ribosomal RNA". It matches the Rfam family "Bacterial small subunit ribosomal RNA", at positions 28 to 523 of the family's 1533-position model. The record is from RNAcentral.